AAGAUAGAGGCGCGGCCGACAAGAGUACGCACGGCAAACGACAGACAUCGUGUGCGGAAAGGGGAAGCCGCCGAGGUGCCGCAUGUGUGUCUGAGCGUGCGGUUGCCGGGCCGGGGGAUAACAUCCGUCGGACUGUCACGGUUGUGGAGCGCUAUCG
Molecule: non-coding RNA, 157 nt
Filed under: human gut metagenome
Description: Lysine riboswitch
Rfam family: Lysine riboswitch aptamer
About the family: Riboswitches are metabolite binding domains within certain messenger RNAs that serve as precision sensors for their corresponding targets. Allosteric rearrangement of mRNA structure is mediated by ligand binding, and this results in modulation of gene expression.
Source: RNAcentral